Numida meleagris (helmeted guineafowl) is the source of this 10629-nucleotide RNA transcript. It is a transcript of the gene named paraspeckle component 1, with no coding region annotated. The transcript is spliced from 14 exons. The record is from RefSeq and is a predicted model, not a curated record. Lineage: Eukaryota; Metazoa; Chordata; Aves; Galliformes; Numididae.
UUGGCUGCCGCUCGGAGGCGGUGGCUGCUGAGCGCGGCUCCGCGUCCCCCGAGAAAACCAGGGAGAAGGGAGCGAGGUCCGAACAUGGCGGCGAAUCGGAACUUGAAGCAAGUGCGGAUCGAGAACAGCUCCCCGGCGGCGCCGCUGGGGAUGGUGGGGGGCGGCGGCGGCGGCCUGAAGGGACUGCGGGGCCUAGAGACGGAGAACGAGGCGGCGGCCAUGGCGCUGGUGCCGGGCAAGGAGGGUGGGGAUGAGGAGCAGGAGGGUGGGUUCACCAUCGACAUCAAAAGCUUUCUCAAACCCGGCGAGAAGAGCUACACGCAGCGCUGCCGCCUCUUCGUGGGCAAUCUGCCCACCGACAUCACCGAGGAGGAUUUCAAGCGCCUCUUCGAGCGCUACGGGGAGCCCAGCGAGGUCUUCAUCAACCGGGACCGCGGCUUCGGCUUCAUCCGCCUGGAAUCUAGGACACUGGCUGAAAUAGCAAAAGCAGAACUUGAUGGUACUAUUUUGAAGAGCAGACCACUUCGAAUUCGAUUUGCUACACAUGGAGCUGCCCUAACGGUCAAGAAUCUUUCACCUGUGGUUUCUAAUGAGCUGCUGGAACAAGCAUUCUCUCAAUUUGGACCAGUGGAGAGAGCUGUUGUUGUAGUAGAUGAUCGCGGCAGAGCUACAGGAAAAGGUUUCGUGGAGUUUGCGGCAAAACCUCCAGCACGGAAAGCUCUAGAAAGAUGCAGUGAUGGUGCAUUCUUGCUAACAACAACACCUCGGCCUGUUGUUGUAGAGCCAAUGGAGCAAUUUGAUGAUGAAGAUGGGCUCCCCGAGAAGCUAAUGCAAAAAACACAACAAUAUCACAAGGAAAGAGAACAGCCUCCACGUUUUGCUCAACCUGGAACAUUUGAGUUUGAGUAUGCUUCACGUUGGAAGGCUCUUGAUGAGAUGGAAAAGCAACAGCGUGAACAGGUUGACAGGAACAUUAGAGAAGCCAAAGAGAAACUAGAGGCAGAAAUGGAAGCAGCUAGACAUGAGCAUCAGCUAAUGUUGAUGAGGCAAGAUCUCAUGCGGCGUCAAGAAGAAUUGAGACGUUUGGAAGAACUUCGGAAUCAAGAACUUCAGAAACGCAAACAGAUACAAUUGAGACAUGAAGAAGAGCACAGACGACGUGAAGAGGAGAUGCUACGCCAGAGGGAACAGGAAGAACUGAGACGACAGCAGGAGGGAGGAUUUAAGCCAAAUUUCAUGGACAACAGAGAACAGGAAAUGAGAAUGGGUGAUAUGGGUCCUCGUGGAGCAAUUAACAUGGGAGAUGCGUUUAGCCCAGCACCUGCUGGUAACCAAGGCCCUCCUCCAAUGAUGGGUAUGAAUAUGAACAACAGAGGAACUUUGCCUGGCCCUGCAAUGGGUCCUGGUCCUUCCAUGGGACCAGAAGGAGCUGCAAAUAUGGGAACACCAAUGAUGCCAGAUAAUGGAACGGUGUGGUUUCAUGGGCCGAACUGUGACACUAUAUAAUGUAAAAAAGAGCAGAAAUUGAAAUUUAUGAAUGGCAUUUAAGGAAAGACUGCAUGUACAAACCAAAAUCAUGCUGGAGGAAGAAGGAAGUUGAAAUAGGUAAAACUUAAUUUUCUGCUUCUUCUAGUAGAUAACUUCUGUCAUGAGUUUUUGAUGAGUUUCUGCUUUAAAACAAAUGGUGCAAGACCUAGGUUCUGCUGAUUUGCCUUGGUUGUGACCAAACAACAAGAAUAGUACUAUCAGGAUGUCCAUUAAUGAUUAACGUUAUCUUGCCACAGUGAUAAAUCUGAGGAAUAGAUAGUUGGUCAAUGCCUGAGGUGUUGUGUCAGCUGGUUGGAUAUGUAUGCUACUGCACAGCUGUUGUUGCUCUGCCAAUUCAAUCUGGUAGUGCCUUUAGUUACUGCAGCAGGUACUUUACCCACCUCAGUAAUGAAGCUUCUUCAUGGCCAUAUGGAUGCUUUUUGAAGUUUUCUGCCUCUUCAGCUUAGUGAAUUUCAUUUGCACAGUGGCAGCUGCUGCAGUUUGGGUGUUGAGCGUGCUAUGGUCAUGAAGUACUUCGCCCCAGCCGGAAUCCAUUUGACUUACACCUCUUCAGUAACUGCAGUUCACAUCCAAAUAAUACUUUUUAUGGAUUACAGAUGUGAAUUCUCAAUGAGGUGUAAUACAAAGCUAUUACACUUGUACUAUCAACAACGUAAAUUCCUUUGGUAGCUUAAGAUGUGCUAGAGAAAAUGAACCUGAAUGAUUAUUGUAGUCCAGUUCUCUAAUUAUGUAAUAAAAAUGUGAAGUCCUGGUUCUACUUCUGUGUCCAGGUGCUGUUUUCAUCUUUCAAACUUGGAUAUCUGCAUUUAUUCUAGUUUACACACUUCUACACAAACUAGAAUCACUCAAAUGUAUGCAUAAGUAUGCCACUAGGCGCAGUCAGCUGUCAGAUGCUGAUCAGAUGAAAGAGUUUGUAGAGUUUGAAAUAGAAGUUAACUGAAAUAGAUCUUAAAUAACAUGGAAAGAAAGUUUUGAGAAGGCCAGAACAAGGUGGAGCAGAACAGAAGAGCUAAAUAUGAGCUCUUUUGAUGCUGAUCCACAAAAAAAACAAUAGAUGAAUCUGAUGGUUGGUACACCGAGUUUUGGGUUGAAAUGUGGACCUUGAUGGAGAAACCGCUGUUUGCUUGUGUGGAGGUUCUUUUCAAAAAAUAGCAAAUGAUACUUGCAGCAUUAGAGGGAUUAUUUUUGAUUGUAUACAUCAAAAAUGGAGAACAGGUGAUGAAGUAACUUCCGUGUUUUAGGCUACGUUCAUACACUUUUUUUAUUAACAUGUUGAUAUUUUUGAAUUUGUUACUUGACAUACUUUUGAUAACUGAUUUUAAACACGUGAAAAUUACAGUAGGAGCUUACAUCUUGAAAUCUGAACCAACUCCAGUGAGAAAUAAGUCAGUCUGUCUUGGAUUCAAAACAUUUUCAUCUUGAGUACGAUGCCAUCUGACCUACCUUUGUAUGUAAGUUGGUAACAAAAGGAAGUUCCCUGUUCCUUCUAUGUUCUUGGCUUAGUCCUGAUCAAACAUGGUUUCAUUAAUAAAGGCUUUUAGACUUCAUCGUUUUCAAAUGGAGAAAGUUUUAGCUGACUGGGUUGUCAUUUUAAGGGGUGGUGGGAGAGGAUGGGUUAAUUUAAAUACUAUUCCUAAAACAUACUGAAAUGCGUUGGGUAGUUAAAUCUGUCACUCAGAAUUACUGCUAAUAUCGUGCUCUUUUCUUCACUAUGUGUUAAAGCUAUCUUCCUAGCUUUAUAUGAGAUACAAGACUUAAUGCUUUUUUUGAUUUUUUCAGUUAACUGUUCCACUUUGGGUAGAAACAAUAACUUCAUCCUACAGGUAGAAGCUACCCUAUUAAAAUAAGACAAAUAAGGUAGUAGUAGAAAGUUAAGAAACGUUAGCAUAGCAUCCAGUAAGGUAUGUCCAAUUGUGCGAUUAAGGGCCAGCUUGCCAGAUGAUAAAGGUUGCUUAGCAGUCACAAGUUGAGAAUCUCUGCUCUUUGGUUUUAUAAGGUGGAGUUCACCGUAUGUUCUGCAUUAAUUUUUUUCAUGGAUUCCUUCUUGUGACUAUGCACAGCUUUCAACCCAGGUCUGAACAGUAAUCUGUUUCAGCUGGACAAGUGCUGGCAAGGGCUAGUAGUAUUGUAUUGAAAGAGGGAAGUAAAUGCCUCCACAAAACAUAAUUUUUCAUGAGAAAUGUUACCUUUAUUUAACAUUGGUGUGUGUUUUUAUAAGAAGGUAAGUCUUCAGUGGAGUAAAAGGAUGUUUGCAGGAUACCUUGAAAUUUGUUAAUGCUGUCUUGUCAUCUUUACCUUGACAUACAGAUUUCAUUUUCUGUGUAGUUCAAAUCUAGUGUAAGAUUCUAAUUUUUUUUCCACCAAGUAUGGCUAUAUUGCAAUGGAAGAUAGAAGUAGCUCUUCUUUCUUUGUCGUGAUGAAGCAAAUGGAAAUAAAAAUUGUCACCCGGCAGAGUUAAAAGCACAGGAAGGAAAUUUCUUAAUUGCACGAAGUCUUUUGAUAGAUCAGCAGGCAGUGGGCACAAACUGACACACAGGAGGUUCCCUCUGAACACCAGGAGCACUGGCACAGGCUGCCCAGGGUGCACCCUGCUCUGGGUGUCCCUGCUGGAGCAGGGCUUGGGCAGAGGGACCCAGAGGUCCGUGCCAGCCUUAAGGCUUUGAUGUAAAGCCUUGCUUUUCUUGGUCUAUAUGAAUUAACAUAAAAAGCCUGUUAUAUUAUAUAGCUGCUUGAAUACUUCUUUACUAGGUUUCUUUUUAAUACAAAAGCGUACAUCACUUAGUAUUCCUGCAUUACCUUCUCAAGUGGAGUGCUUCAAAGAUGAAAGUUCUUUGAGAAGCUUGAAUUGCAGGUCUAUAAAGACUGUACAAGUGCAGCCCGCCCUUCCCUUGCCCCCAGCACAGUCUUACGGCUCCAGAAGUUGUAGCCCCACAAAGAUAACUAAUUCUUCUCUCAUGAUUUUGGAAGAGGAAGUUAGGACACGGGCCUAACUUGGCACCUGCUGCGAAAAUGACAGGUAAGGAAUCUUACAGGAGGGAAGGGGGAACGUUGUGUAAAGUUGUAUAAUGCAGCAUUGCUGAUAUUUCACAAGUAAAUGCUCUGUAUAUCAGUUUCAUAAUUCUUUAGUGAUGCUGUCUUUUUUUUGUUUUGUUUUUAUGUUGAAGUUGGAUUAUGCAAAAAUCCAGGAAGCUUCCUUUGAAAAGAGAUUCCCUCUCUUGUUUUCUGAAGAUAUGAAAUAAACUGUUAAGAUCAUCACAUCCCAACUACGUGUGAAUAAAUAUGCAAAGCGUAUGCUGUUGUUCAGUCAUGUUAAAAUGAAAAAUGGCUCAUAGACUUUGACUGUACACAUCUUUUGUUUCUUCAAACAUUUUUAAAAUGAUUUGUAAAUCAGGCUUAGUCAACAUUGAUAAGACUACACAUUUUAGUCUCUAGUUUUUUUUAAGUGGCUAUCUCGGCAUAAUAGUAAUCUUACUUGAGCAGCGCAUAGUACAAUAUUGUCCUGACUUCUGGCUUUGUUGGAGUAGUAGGGUAAUACUGGCUGCACUCAAAUACAUGUUAGUUGUGCUGAUCUGACUGUAUCUAGUUUACAGCAGACACGAUUUGUUCCCAGCUCUGUACAUUACUGCGAUUGGCUGAAGUCACUCAGAGUUUCUAGAACUUAAUGCAAGUUCAUGACAUUUUAACAGUACCUUCAGUGCUGACAGAACUGUUCGGGAUGCUUUUGAUCUGUCAGGUUUCUUAACAUGUCUUUAUUAAUUGGUGAAAUCACAUCUGUAUCGCUUACUAGGUGAAAGAGAUGAUAAGAGUUAAAGUUGCUCCUUCCAGCAGUUUUGUACUUCUUAGCUGCUCAUGAUAAGGUAAAGUACGGUAAAGUGCUCAGGAACUUUGUUUUAAAAGUUGCACAAGUUCUGAAUGAAGAGAAUUGUGCUAUUGCUUGGACUCUUUUCCAAACCCCUCUGCUCGAACACUGUCAUUGAUAGUAGAAAUCUGGACAUCUGAGGACACUGGCUGCAUUAAUGAUGACGUGCAUAGAACAGAUAAUUGUGAAAACCGUUUUCUGAGGAGCCAGCUAUUCUGGUGCUUCAGAUUCCUCAGCUUGAGACAGGGGUGUUAGUGAGCAAUAUAGGGCUUGGGCCAGCAAGCCGAAGUGUGGGAUGGAGUUGCUGUUUCAUGUAAGAUUAUUUUAAUGAGUGUAUGACUACAGCCUCACGGAUAACUGCAUUUCAUAAAACCAUAAUGAAGUAUAAUGUAAUAUUACUUCAUGCAGUAGAAGUUUGUGAUGUUAAGAACUUAAGGACUUAGUUCCCUUCUGCUGAUCAAACACAAAGUUCUUUGAAAUAAUGAGGAAUCUUUAAAUUUUACCAAAAACUGGACUUGCCUUUCUUGUUAAUUGCUUAGUCUUACAUUUAGGGAUGUAAUGACUCUUUUUAAGAAGCUUACAGUGUACUCAUUUUGUUUUCAAAUUUAGGCUUUGCUUAAGCUGCGCAGAUGAAAUCUUUGUCCUUUUGAAGUGUUUUCAGACAUUUGUAAUUCUCCAAAUAUGGAAAAAACACUUUUAACUUAUGUGUGAGGUUUUGUUAUCUAGACCAAACAGGAAAAUAAAUAAAUGUCCCUUGAUUAUGGUGCUGUCAUCGAUAGUGCUAUAUUAUCUGUCAUGUAAAUGGUAGUAGAAACUAUUCUAGUAACUGCCACCACCUUUUCUUUUUGGAAACCUUACUCCAAAGAAGAACUUUCCUUAUUCUGUGUAAGAUGUUUACUUCAGAUACUUUGUAGUUUAUGAAUAAGAAAUAGCGAUAUAAAGUGCUUUUAGCAGUCAAGGAAAAUGAAUGGCUUGCUGGCUCGAUUCAAGUAGUAUUUUCCUUUUCUUUCCAGGAACUAAGUCUUCCUUCUGAGCCUUAAUUUGGUGAUACUCAGUUACUUGCUUCUAGCUGUCGGCAAGGAUAUGUUCAUAAGGAGCUUUUUGGGGACAUGAGAUUGGAAAAGAUGGCACUGGGUUCAUCUCCUGUGAUCGCUGGCAGCCAUGCAAUGAAGUCCAGUUAACGACUGGUUUACUCUUCAGUGGUUUUAUUGUUGUAAAUGCAUGCUUUUGUCCUCACCAGUAGCUGCUUGUGAUUAAGGAGGACCUGAAUGCAGCUCUGCGGAUCGCCCGUCUCAGGUUCCCUUUGGUAGCCCCCCAGAAAUGAGCACAAGGGAUUGCAUGUUAUCCUGAGAAAAGCUCGGAUCAGGAGUUCUUCCAUUCUGUGCUAUGGAUGGUGGCUGUGCUGCUCCCAGAAGGAUGCCUGUUCCUGCUGGGGCAAAAUGUCACAUAGCCCACGCCCGUCAAAGUUUACCUAUGCCACUGCUCUGUUUUGCUAGAUUACUGUUAAAAUGUUAAAAUGCAGAUGAAGAUGGGCUUCUGUACAAUCCUGCUGCUGCCUUAUGAAUACCAAAGGGAAUCCUAAACCAAGCUUUAGUACAAGGGUUCAAGGAAAGCUCGUGGUGGCUGUACACUGUACAGCCUCAUCCUUGAAGAUGGCUUUCUGCUGCAUUGCAGCUCUGCAAGUUCAUCUCUUCAAGCUUGAAAGACCGCUUGAGACAGUACCAGUAGCCCUGCAAGACCAGCAGGAAGCGAUGGGAAGUUUACCAGCACAGAAAUGGGGAGAAAAACAUCUGGUGGCAACUCCUUGCACAGGAAAGUCCUAACUGCAGGUAUUGGGAUGUUCAGCCUCCAGGGUUCAGCCUUUUAACAUUUCAUAUAGUACAGAUGAUGGCUGACAGCUUGGAUGUUUGCCUGGGGUCCUGCCUCCCUUUUUACUGAGUACUAGAAACAGAGUUUGUUUCUGGCUCUCCUGUACAAAUACUGCAAAAGGGGGCUCAUAAGGACUUCACAGUUGUAUGUGCUGGAACAGGAACCACACUAAAUCAUACAUUAAAAUACCACUUACAUGAUGGGGUUUGAAUUUAAAAACACCGAUUCCACCUGGCUCCAAGGAGGAUGAAAAUAGCAUUUGAUAAUAAAAUGUGACAAAACAGAAGUAACCAUGUUUUCCCACAUUUGAAGCAAAGACAGUGAAUUUGCGUUGAAGUUGCAGCACCGAGAUUAACACAGCACAGAAGCAUUGGUUACCUGACAGCUCUGAGCCUGCAACGUGAGGAAGCGUUACCAGAAAGAUCUGAAGUUGCUUUAAAAUUUCACCAUCUAUGCAGUUGAGUUGGAUGAUAAAAAAAACCCAAACAACCUGCAUUAAUGUAGCCCAAUAAAAAGAUUAAGAAGGAAAAAGUGAAUGAAACAGAAAAUGAAAAAUGCAUUUUUCUGGAUGUCAUGAGGUUUUAACACUGCAUUGUAACACAUCAGUGAUCUAACUGUGCUUUUUUCAGGGUUUCUGUUUCUAAUGAAAUUGUUUCAAAUAAAAUUCCUGUUACUCAUGUAUUAAUUUUGUUUCCUGAACUCAAAAGAGACAGUGAACGUGAACUGAGCAGCUGCCAGGAACCUCACAGACUUCAAAAAAGCCAAAAAGCAAAACCUUGUGGGCAUAGUAUAAUGGAAGGCAGUAGUGCAGCAACGGGGUGGGAACUGAGCUGAGGGUCCUGAUGGUCACAGGGUGAGGAUGGAGGUGUCCAGCCCCAUCCUUGGCUGUGGGACGCACAGCAGACCCCUGAGAAAGACACCGUGUCACCCAGCAAGCUCCAGCACCCCUCGGAAGCCAGGAACACAAGAACUGAGGCUGCAGUAGUGGAAGUGAAUGAGCUGAUGCCAUUAAUUGCUGCUGCAGAGUGAUCCCAGCUGCUCAGCCUUUCCAAUAAAAUAGCAGUAAGCAAAGAAAACAAGCAAGUAUGUUGAAAGUAUUUCUGCCCAGUGCCUGAAGUGAUUUUUGCUGUAGCUGUCUCUUUGCCCUUUGCAAAACCUUUACCCUCAGCAGUUGGAUAAAGAGGAUGUAGUAAAAUCAGACAGAAGCCAGCUUUGAACAUUCUUCACAUCUCUUCAGUAGGAAUCUAGAAUUUAUGUCACCAUCAGAAUAGGAAAAGGGCUGCUAAAUCCAUCCCUCCAUAACAUUAUGAACUCAGGUUUUCUUCCUCUUUUCUAUAAGACUCAGUCCCGCACCUCAAAUUUCCCAAGACAGGAAGAAGUAUUAAACCCAGCACAAGCCUAACAAACCACACCCACCCCCACCUCUGACAACUUACUUGCCCUGUCAACUCUUGGAGCAGCUUUUAGGUUACACUGUAGAGCAGUUUCUGAACUGCAUCUGGAUAAUUACUUGGACACCUGUUCAAAACCUGUUGGGCCCACCUGCACAGUGCUUGACCAGCCCAGCCCCCUAGCAGAGGUGCGCUGUACACACGCACCAUGCCCACUCCUAAGCUCACAAUGCAGGGACAGCUAAGGAAAUGGUAACCGUGUGAAAGCUGUCACUCCACCAUAAGGAAACACUGAAGAAUGAAUCACAUCCAUAGUGAUCUUCCACAACUCUUUCCUAAUACCUACUCUCUGAAAUUCAGAAGAAAACCACCAGCUGUCGGUGCGGACAACCCUGAUUCUCAGCCGCCGCUUUCUGUACACUGCAGUGUUUGUGCUCAGGAGAAUGAGGUAUCGCAGAUUUCAGAGAUGCAGGUAACAAAUCUGUCCCAAAUUCAGACUUGGUAACGCACCCAUCAAUCUGUUUGCAGAAAGACUGCUUGGAAUCAGUCACACCAGCAAUGAGCAUGUCGUGGUGCUGCUGUGUUUUACACAGAGAAUGUGACCAUCCACAAACCUGAGACAGAUAACUAGUGUGCUUCGUUGCUAAGAUUUGGCAUCUCUUACUGGAAAGUUUUAAACUUUCAAGAACCAAUACUUAAAAAGUGGUUAGCUGAAAGUUUUAAUAUAAAGUCACAGUUCUUAAAAGGAUACAACUGAGUGCUCACCGUUAAAAUGGUGCAAAUACAUUAUUUAUCCCCAAGAGUUUCAUAAGCAAUAUAGGCACAUAGUGUCAUGUAAAGUACUUAUGGCAACCAGAACAGCAAAGGCACAAUCUACUUUUUUCCUUUACUUUUCAAGAUGUCGUUUAAUUUACAAAGAAAAAUACUCUGUACUUCAGGCAGAAGUAUCACAUUUUUAUAUUAUAGCACAGAACCAUUACAGAACUGCUGUCAUCUGAUAAAAGGGGUCACCUUAACGAAAGAAAAAAAAAAAGAUAGCAGCUCUUUGCACACAGGAACCGAGUUUCUGAAUGAGAGGGCAGUUCCUGUUCUCGUUAGUCACGCUGAGAACAUCUGAACUCCUCUGUACCUUUUAGCCUAAGGAAGCACUGCCCACACAUCUCAGGUAGUCAGCAGGUUUUCUCGUUUGCUAGCUCCAGCUUUUUGUAUUUGUUUUCCCAUACGCCACUUGACUAACAACUCCAAAGCUAGGAUGCCUGUAAACUAUCAGUUGCUUCUCUAACACAAGAUUAGUCUUAAAGCACUGAUGUAACUGGAAAUCCGACUGCAGAGCUCUACCCAUUGAGCCUCUCUGGCCCUCUUUGUUCACACCCGCAGACUUAACCGCCUGUUGACAGGGAAUUGCUCCGGGCACUCCUGCUUUCCCACCAGGAGACAACUACAGCAGAGUUUCCAACCGGAACGUGGCCCCAGCGCUUCCUGGUUAAGCGACGCAGUGACUUUCAGCAGCUGGGACUGCUGCUCACAGCUCUGAGAAUACAACAGUUCUGCAUUUUACAUUGAAACAUUACAGUUAUUUGAUAAAAACAACCAGAAGCCAACACACAGUAAGAUCCCUACCUUCUGGCACGUUCUGUGGGGGUUUAUAGUUAAAUUCUGUGGAGAAGUCCGGCCCUUCGCAGAGACGGUGACAAGCAAUUGGGAAGACUGGCUCCAGCAACACAAGGCGAGCUUCAAAAUAGUCCCUGAUGGUAUCUUCUGCUACUCUUGAGAGUCUACAUGAGGAAACAAGCAAGGCGUGCACUUCACACAGAGUAAUUACUUCAGCAGACAGUCCUGAGCAAAGAAUGAUUCCAGAUUUCCCUUUCACAUUCCCAGUUGUCAGGACUUCAUCACCAACGUCUAUGCACAGAUGAGCCCCAGGUGCCAAUACUUUGUUAAUAAAACAUUUUAUCAGAGAAA